This 2723-nucleotide ribosomal RNA is filed under the name Sphaerospora dykovae. Its description in RNAcentral is "partial 28S ribosomal RNA". It matches the Rfam family "Eukaryotic large subunit ribosomal RNA", at positions 23 to 1167 of the family's 3401-position model. Lineage: Eukaryota; Metazoa; Cnidaria; Myxozoa; Bivalvulida; Sphaerosporidae. The record is from RNAcentral.
ACCCGCUGAAUUUAAGCAUAUCAGUAAGCGGAGGAAAAGAAAACAACAGUGAUUCCCUCAGUAACGGCGAGUGAAGCGGGAAUAGCCCAACGUUGAAUCGCUUACAAAGGUGUUGCUGUCACCCCUCACCGGAUGGCAGCAUUCACUGCGAGCUUCUCGCGAGCGAGUUGUGACGUAAGGACGCAUCGCAUCGGGGCCGUGCGUGUCACCAAAGUUUUCCUGGAAAGGAGCGCCAGAGAGGGUGAUAGCCCCGUGUGUGGUGACAUGAGUGAUGUGUGAGUGCGGUCUCGCUUGUGUGUGAAAGCAUGCAAGUGUGGCGGUGUGUUCCAUGAGUCGGGUUGUUUGGGAUUGCAGCCCAAAGAGGGUGGUAGACUCCACCCAAGGCUAAAUACUGGCACAAAACCGAUAGCGAACAAGUACCGUGAGGGAAAGUUGAAAAGCAUUCCGAAAGGAAGGUUAAACAGGACGUGAAACCGUUAAAGGGGAAGCAGAUGGAUGGGUCGAAUUGCUGCCAUCCCCCUGGAUCAGCGUGUUGCGUGUGUGUGUGUGCACAUGUGAUGCGUGUGGCCAGUGCCGCGCAAGUGGUGCUGGUCAAUGCAGUGGUGCGUGGAGGAGCCGAAACAGUCGUUGUGAGUACGGCCAGGGCAGGUUGGGCAGCUGUUCUGUGGCAUCCACCGUUUAGCUUGCCCCCGUGGUGAGUGUUAAUGCGUGGGUCAUGCUGUGGAGCGGCUGUUACCUGUAGGUGCACGCUUCAAUGCGUGCACAUAUUCGUGCGUGAUGCCUAUGGCUCGCUAGAAUGCUCUACUGUCGUGGUAGGGCCGAGCAGUGACCGCAAUUGGGUGACCUGGUGUUAAGCGUGCGACUCGUGCGUACGUGUACUUAAAAGUUUCGUUUGCGAUGACUGAGAAAUUGCGCCGUUGAGGCGAUGCUGUGUGCUCCCGUACACGUUUGUGCGUGUGCGAAGAGAGUGGAGCGAUAUGCGUGCAAUGUGAGUUACGUCCCCUGGAAGUGGCAUGCUGUGCUGGCGUGCAAGCGUUCAGUGUGGUAUGCCAGCAUCUGGUUGUGUUAGUGCGAUGUGUUGUCGCGCCCGGAUGUGUGAUGGUGGCGAUACCUCGGUCGUGCGGGGCAGCGCCAGUGUGGCGUUUGGCCGUGCAAACGGUCAGACGCUGUGCCGGUGUUGCUGCGACCGUGGGUGAGACCUCCGGCUGGUGGUGUCGUGUGGUUGCAAGACUGUGCGACUCUCCGCGCACAUGUAACAGUGUGCGUUCAUCAGCUUCUAGCUGUGGGAACGGCCCGUAACAGGGCCGGCCUGCGAUUUGUCACUCUUCCAGAGAUCAUUGAGAGCCAUGAGUAAUAUCUGACUUUGUGUGUGCGUCUCGUGCGUACACACGUGGCAUCACGCUUGCGUGUUUAAAAUAGCCAGGAUGUAAAUGUGCGUCAAGACACAGCUAAUUUUCGGCGAGACACCAAUCCAUCCGACCCGUCUUGAAACACGGACCAAGGAGCCUAUCAUGUGCGCGAGUCAAAGGGUGAUUGAAACCCAGAGCAGUGCAACAUAGCACUCGCGUCACCAGCGUUGUUCACACUCUGCUGGUGACGUGCAUGUUGAAACACAAGCGAUAAGGCGUAAUGAAAGUGACCACCAAUUGUGGUGAUGAGAUGGGAUCUAGCCGUGAGACGCGUGUGUGUCUCUGCCUGUGGCAACAUAGGCGGGGCCACACACUGCUGGCUCUCCGGUCGGCGCACCAUCAGCCGGUUCGCACGUAGGUGCGGGCUGAGCGAGAGCGUACAUGCUAGAACCCGAAAGAUGGUGAACUAUUCCUGGGUAGGGCGAAGCCGGAGGAAACUCCGGUGGAGGCUCGCAGCGAUUCUGACGUGCAAAUCGAUCGUCAAACCUGGGUAUAGGGGCGAAAGACUAAUCGAACCAUCUAGUAGCUGGUUCCUUCCGAAAUAUCCCUCAGGAUCGCUGAGACCUGUGCAAAAACAUUCAUUGUGGUGCAUGUGAGGGGACCGUCAUGUGCGUGUCCUCGAUAUCAUGUGUGAGAAUGUGGUAGUUUCAUCGGGUAGAGCUAAUGAUUAGAGUGAUUUGGGAGCUACUGCUCCUGGAACUAUUCUCAAACUGCCAACCGGUGAUAACUGCUGGUGAUUUCUUGUAUGUUCUUUGUCAGUGACUGUGUGUGCGUCCCCGACGCACCACGGUGGUACGGGUCGAUGUGCGCAACGCAAGUUGCGUGUGUCGGCCCGGCUGGCGAAGAGUGGCUUCUACUGGCCAGUGAGACAGCAGCAUUGCUGUGUCACGUGUGCGUUGGCCAGUGUGCCGUGUGCGUGUGUGUCUGUGCGUGUGCCGGCCAGGGCAUCACCCGGUGUCUUGGUCGGUGUGUGUGCAGGUGUGUGCCGUAUGGUGUGCUGGUCUUCUGUGUGCGUGGUGUGGCUUUGUUGCCAGUCGGUGGUGCACAAGUCAGGAGGUGCGAUGAAAGCUUGCGAGGGUGUGUAAACUGUGUGUGGUCCUCACAGCUAGGACUUGGUGCCACCGCGCUCGCUGGUAGCGUACGGAGCUGCGCGCAUUGAUGGAUGCGAGCAUGAGAUGAAUCACCGGCCUUGCCGACGCAGCAGUGGUCAUACACUGUGUGUAGUGCGUCGGCACUGCGUUAGCACGCAGAAAGUGAAUACCAGGGUCUCAAGUGGGCCGUUUCUGGUAAGCAGAACUGGCGAUGCGGGAUGAA